UACAUAUAUGUACAUAAAUAUAAUUUUCAACGAAUAAUAUAUAUAGAGAGAGAGAGAGAGUGUUACAAGGAAGUGAUCUAAAACUUCGUAAAUUUGUAGUACAUGUUUAAUGAGAGAAGUAGAAAGUGUAGUCUGAUAAGUGUAGAUCCUAAAAUUAAUCCCGUUUAUUUGAUAUGCCGUACCUUUUAUUUAACAUUUAAAUCGAACGUUUAAAUCGAACCUUCGAUAGAAUAGAUGGAAGAAACGUGUCCAAUAAAAUCUCCUCCAUCAUGUGAUUUGAUUUCAUUGAAUUUUUCUUUUAUGA
This is a long non-coding RNA of Bombus impatiens (common eastern bumble bee), 304 nucleotides long. RefSeq lists it as uncharacterized. The record is from RefSeq and is a predicted model, not a curated record. Lineage: Eukaryota; Metazoa; Arthropoda; Insecta; Hymenoptera; Apidae. The transcript has 2 exons.